This 854-nucleotide ribosomal RNA is filed under the name uncultured bacterium. Its description in RNAcentral is "SSU rRNA". It matches the Rfam family "Bacterial small subunit ribosomal RNA", at positions 524 to 1381 of the family's 1533-position model. The record is from RNAcentral.
UACGGAGGAUGCAAGCGUUAUCCGGAUUCAUUGGGUUUAAAGGGUGCGCAGGUGGGUUUGUAAGUCAGUGGUGAAAUUCUGCCGCUUAACGGUAGGACUGCCAUUGAUACUGCGAAUCUUGAGUAUGGUUGAGGUAGGUGGAAUGUGUUGUGUAGCGGUGAAAUGCAUAGAUAUGACACAGAACUCCGAUUGCGAAGGCAGCUUACUAAGCCAUUACUGACACUGAGGCACGAAAGCGUGGGGAGCGAACAGGAUUAGAUACCCUGGUAGUCCACGCCGUAAACGAUGUUCACUCGCUGUUUGCGAUACACAGCAAGCGGCUGAGCGAAAGCAUUAAGUGAACCACCUGGGGAGUACGAUCGCAAGGUUGAAACUCAAAGGAAUUGACGGGGGCCCGCACAAGCGGAGGAACAUGUGGUUUAAUUCGAUGAUACGCGAGGAACCUUACCUGGGCUUAAAUGUAGAUUGCAUAAGGUGGAAACAUCUUUUCCCUUCGGGGCUAUUUGCAAGGUGCUGCAUGGUUGUCGUCAGCUCGUGCCGUGAGGUGUCGGGUUAAGUCCCAUAACGAGCGCAACCCCUAUCGUUAGUUGCCAGCGGGUCAAGCCGGGGACUCUAGCGAGACUGCCACCGUAAGGUGAGAGGAAGGUGGGGAUGACGUCAAAUCAGCACGGCCCUUAUGUCCAGGGCUACACACGUGUUACAAUGGCAAGUACAAAGGGCAGCUACACGGCGACGUGAUGCUAAUCUCUAAAGCUUGUCCCAGUUCGGAUUGGAGUCUGCAACCCGACUCCAUGAAGUUGGAUUCGCUAGUAAUCGGAUAUCAGCCAUGAUCCGGUGAAUACGUUCCCGGGCCU